RNAcentral lists this ribosomal RNA (586 nucleotides) under uncultured bacterium. Its description in RNAcentral is "partial 16S ribosomal RNA". It matches the Rfam family "Bacterial small subunit ribosomal RNA", at positions 355 to 1376 of the family's 1533-position model. The record is from RNAcentral.
UGGGGAAUUUUGGACAAUGGGCGAAAGCCUGAUCCAGCAAUGCCGCGUGUGUGAAGAAGGCCUUCGGGUUGUAAAGCACUUUUGUCCGGAAAGAAAUCCUUGGCUCUAAUACAGUCGGGGGAUGACGGUACCGGAAGAAUAAGCACCGGCUAACUACGUGCCAGCAGCCGCGGUAAUACGUAGGGUGCAAGCGUUAAUCGGAAUUACUGGGCGUAAAGCGUGCGCAGGCGGUUUGCUAAGACCGAUGUGAAAUCCCCGGGCUCAACCUGGGAACUGCAUUGGUGACUGGCGGGCUAGAGUAUGGCAGAGGGGGGUAGAAUUCCACGUGUAGCAGUGAAAUGCGUAGAGAUGUGGAGGAAUACCGAUGGCGAAGGCAGCCCCCUGGGCCAAUACUGACGCUCAUGCACGAAAGCGUGGGGAGCAAACAGGAUUAGAUACCCUGGUAGUCCACGCCCUAAACGAUGUCAACUAGUUGUUGGGGAUUCAUUUCCUUAGUAACGUAGCUAACGCGUGAAGUUGACCGCCUGGGGAGUACGGUCGCAAGAUUAAAACUCAAAGGAAUUGACGGGGUCAUAGCUGUUUCCUG